CAGGAUUGUGAAAUGAGCAGUGUUGGGCACGUUACUUUGAAAAAGUAAUUAGUGAUAGUUACUAGUUACUUCUCCCAAAAAGUAACUGAGUUACUAACUGAGUUACUCCACUAUAAAAGUAACUAGUUACCACUAAAAGUAACUAUUGCGUUACUCGCCUCUUAGCCCCCCCCCCCUUCUCAGAGUG
Long non-coding RNA from Thalassophryne amazonica, 187 nucleotides. RefSeq lists it as uncharacterized. The record is from RefSeq and is a predicted model, not a curated record. Lineage: Eukaryota; Metazoa; Chordata; Actinopteri; Batrachoidiformes; Batrachoididae. The transcript has 3 exons.